This 253-nucleotide ribosomal RNA is filed under the name uncultured bacterium. RNAcentral describes it as "partial 16S ribosomal RNA". It matches the Rfam family "Bacterial small subunit ribosomal RNA", at positions 524 to 776 of the family's 1533-position model. The record is from RNAcentral.
UACGUAGGUGGCAAGCGUUGUCCGGAUUUACUGGGUGUAAAGGGCGUGUAGCCGGGUUGACAAGUCAGAUGUGAGAUCCUGCGGCUUAACCGCAGAACUGCAUUUGAAACUGUUGAUCUUGAGUACUGGAGAGGCAGACGGAAUUCCUAGUGUAGCGGUGAAAUGCGUAGAUAUUAGGAGGAACACCAGUGGCGAAGGCGGUCUGCUGGACAGCAACUGACGGUGAGGCGCGAAAGCGUGGGGAGCAAACAGG